UCUAUCGAUGAAGAACGCAGCGAGAUGCGAUAAGUAAUGUGAAUUGCAGAAUUCAGUGAAUCAUCAAAUCUUCUGACACGCACCUUGCGCGCCUUGGUAUUCCGAAGAGCAUGCCUGUUUGAGUGUCAUGA
Molecule: ribosomal RNA, 131 nt
Filed under: Ganoderma sp. GanO-14
Lineage: Eukaryota; Fungi; Basidiomycota; Agaricomycetes; Polyporales; Polyporaceae
Description: partial 5.8S ribosomal RNA
Rfam family: 5.8S ribosomal RNA
About the family: 5.8S ribosomal RNA (5.8S rRNA) is a component of the large subunit of the eukaryotic ribosome. It is transcribed by RNA polymerase I as part of the 45S precursor that also contains 18S and 28S rRNA.
Source: RNAcentral